UGUGCCAUCAACAAUCUGUUCAUGUGCCCCAUUUCCAUCUGUUCAUGUGCCCCAUUUCCGUAGAUAACGAAAAUACUUUGAGGCAUCUGUUAGUGCAUGUUGGGCUCAUGUGGUACAUCAAUUCCUAGUGCUAUUAACGAUCUGAUCAUGUGACACAUAUCCGUGGAUAACGAAAACACUUUGAGGCUCAUGUAUCUAAAUCUUCUGUGAGACUACACUACUUGAACUUUUUAUGUUUUUUUAUAUGCUGCUGCUCAUUUACGUCCGUCAAAUGGAUUUUUUGUUUUUGCUAUUUCUAUCUAUUUCUAGUGUGG
This 314-nucleotide long non-coding RNA is filed under the name Elaeis guineensis (African oil palm). RNAcentral's name for it is "long non-coding RNA (EGUI_LNC043132)". Lineage: Eukaryota; Viridiplantae; Streptophyta; Magnoliopsida; Arecales; Arecaceae. The record is from RNAcentral.